RNAcentral lists this ribosomal RNA (416 nucleotides) under uncultured marine eukaryote. RNAcentral describes it as "bacterial SSU rRNA". It matches the Rfam family "Eukaryotic small subunit ribosomal RNA", at positions 6 to 425 of the family's 1831-position model. The record is from RNAcentral.
GGUUGCUCCUGCCAGUAGUCAUAUGUGUCUCAAAAAGAUUAAGCCAUGCAUGUCUCAGUAUAAGUUUUUCCAUGGAAAAACUGAGAAUGGCUCAUUAAAACAGUUAUAGUUUCGUUGGCGGUCAAUCGUUAUAUGGAUAACUGUGGUAAUUCUAGAGAUAAUACGUGCGAAAAACCCUGACUUCUCGGAAGGGUUGUAUUUAUUAGAUAAGAACCAACACCCUUCGCGGGUUUUUGGAUGAUUCAUGAUAAAACGGAGGGGAUUAUGGCUUGUGCCGACGAUAUCUCAUUCAAGUUUCUGACCUAUCAGCUUUCGACGGUAGGGUAUUGGCCUACCGUGGCAUUGACGGGUAACGGAGAAUUAGGGUUCGAUUCCGGAGAGGGAGCCUGAGAAACGGCAACCACGUAAAAGGAAGG